AUGUCCAACGGCAAGCCGACAUAUAACAGUGACUCUUCUUACAUGUCGAGCAUACCGGUCUGUUGCUUUCUCAGGGCAAUGCAGCCGACAAGUAGUUUACUUCGCUGGACCGAUGAUCUCCAUAAGAUCUUCCUGGAAGCUGUAGAGUAUCAAGGAGGCCCCUAUGAGGUGAAGCCAACUGCGGUGAAGGAGAAAAUGGAAGCUAUGGGAGUCACAGGCCUCACAAUCUGGAACAUAAAAAGCCACCUCCAGAUCUGA
Molecule: ribosomal RNA, 258 nt
Filed under: Triticum aestivum (bread wheat)
Lineage: Eukaryota; Viridiplantae; Streptophyta; Magnoliopsida; Poales; Poaceae
Description: partial small subunit ribosomal RNA
Source: RNAcentral